AACGUAGGACGCGAGCGUUAUCCGGAGUUACUGGGCGUAAAGCGCGUGCAGGCGGUUUUCAAGUGGGAUGUGAAAGCGCUCGGCUUAACCGGGCGAGGCCAUUCCAAACUGGACAACUGGAGGGCAGUAGAGGUGGGUAGAAUUCCGGGUGGAGUGGUGAAAUGCGUAGAGAUCCGGAGGAAUACCAGAGGCGAAGGCGGCCCACUGGGCUGCACCUGACGCUGAGCCGCGAAAGCCAGGGGAGCGAACGGG
Molecule: ribosomal RNA, 252 nt
Filed under: uncultured bacterium
Lineage: Bacteria
Description: partial 16S ribosomal RNA
Rfam family: Bacterial small subunit ribosomal RNA
Source: RNAcentral